This 74-nucleotide transfer RNA is filed under the name Dipodomys ordii (Ord's kangaroo rat). It matches the Rfam family "tRNA". Rfam says of the family: Transfer RNA (tRNA) molecules are approximately 80 nucleotides in length. Their secondary structure includes four short double-helical elements and three loops (D, anti-codon, and T loops). Lineage: Eukaryota; Metazoa; Chordata; Mammalia; Rodentia; Heteromyidae. The record is from Rfam by way of RNAcentral.
GGGAAUGUGGCUUAGUGGUAGAGUGCUUGCCUUGCCUGCAAGAAUGAAGCCCUGGGUUCAAUUCCUCAGUGCCA